UUGAACUGAAGAGUUUGAUCCUGGCUCAGAUUGAACGCUGGCGGCAUGCCUUACACAUGCAAGUCGAACGGCAGCACGGGCUUCGGCCUGGUGGCGAGUGGCGAACGGGUGAGUAAUACAUCGGAACAUGUCCUGUAGUGGGGGAUAGCCCGGCGAAAGCCGGAUUAAUACCGCAUACGAUCUACGGAUGAAAGCGGGGGACCUU
RNAcentral lists this ribosomal RNA (205 nucleotides) under Burkholderia ubonensis. Its description in RNAcentral is "partial 16S ribosomal RNA". It matches the Rfam family "Bacterial small subunit ribosomal RNA", at positions 1 to 211 of the family's 1533-position model. The record is from RNAcentral. Lineage: Bacteria; Pseudomonadati; Pseudomonadota; Betaproteobacteria; Burkholderiales; Burkholderiaceae.